CCUACGGGCGGCAGCAGUGAGGAAUAUUGGUCAAUGGACGAGAGUCUGAACCAGCCAAGUAGCGUGAAGGAUGACUGCCCUAUGGGUUGUAAACUUCUUUUAUAUGGGAAUAAAAUGUUCCACGUGUGGGAUUUUGUAUGUACCAUAUGAAUAAGGAUCGGCUAACUCCGUGCCAGCAGCCGCGGUAAUACGGAGGAUCCGAGCGUUAUCCGGAUUUAUUGGGUUUAAAGGGAUCGUAGGUGGAUUGUUAAGUCAGUUGUGAAAGUUUGCGGCUCAACCGUAAAAUUGCAGUUGAAACUGGCAGUCUUGAGUACAGUAGAGGUGGGCGGAAUUCGUGGUGUAGCGGUGAAAUGCUUAGAUAUCACGAAGAACUCCGAUUGCGAAGGCAGUUCACUGGACUGCAACUGACACUGAGGCUCGAAAGUAUGGGUAUCAAACAGGAUUAGAUACCCGGGUAGUC
This 460-nucleotide ribosomal RNA is filed under the name uncultured bacterium. Its description in RNAcentral is "partial 16S ribosomal RNA". It matches the Rfam family "Bacterial small subunit ribosomal RNA", at positions 338 to 795 of the family's 1533-position model. The record is from RNAcentral.